GUCUUUUUGAUUAUAAUUUAAAGUCUGACCUGCCCAAUGAGUAGUUAAAUGGCCGCGGUAAUUUGACCGUGCAAAGGUAGCAUAAUCAUUAGUUUUUUAAUUGAAAGCUGGAAUGAAUGGUUGGACGAGAAAAUAACUGUCUCAAUUUAAUUGUAUAUAGAAUUUUAUUUAUAAGUAAAAAAGCUUAUAUAAUUUUAAAAGACGAGAAGACCCUAUAGAGUUUUACAUUUUAUUUUAUUAAUUAAGUUUAGAAUGUUUAUAUUUUUAAUACAAUAAAGUGUUUUGCUGGGGCAGCAGAAAAAUUGAGUAAACUUUUUUUAUUAUAGUAACAUUGAUUUAUGAUUAAAUGAUCCAUUUUUUAUGAUUAUAAGAUUAAAUUACCUUAGGGAUAACAGCGUAAUUUUUUUUUAGAGUUCUUAUCGAAAAAAGAGUUUGCGACCUCGAUGUUGGAUUAAAAUUAACUUUUGGUGUAGGGGCUAAAAGGUUAGGUCUGUUCGACCUUUAAAAUUUUACA
This 514-nucleotide ribosomal RNA is filed under the name Callistethus granulipygus. RNAcentral's name for it is "partial 16S ribosomal RNA". It matches the Rfam family "Bacterial large subunit ribosomal RNA", at positions 1819 to 2600 of the family's 2925-position model. Lineage: Eukaryota; Metazoa; Arthropoda; Insecta; Coleoptera; Scarabaeidae. The record is from RNAcentral.